AGUGAACGCUGGCGGUAGGCCUAAUACAUGCAAGUCGAACGGCAGCACAGUAAGAGCUUGCUCUUACGGGUGGCGAGUGGCGGACGGGUGAGGAAUACAUCGGAAUCUACUUUUUCGUGGGGGAUAACGUAGGGAAACUUACGCUAAUACCGCAUACGACCUACGGGUGAAAGCAGGGGAUCUUCGGACCUUGCGCGAUUGAAUGAGCCGAUGUCGGAUUAGCUAGUUGGCGGGGUAAAGGCCCACCAAGGCGACGAUCCGUAGCUGGUCUGAGAGGAUGAUCAGCCACACUGGAACUGAGACACGGUCCAGACUCCUACGGGAGGAAGCAGUGGGGAAUAUUGGACAAUGGGCGCAAGCCUGAUCCAGCCAUACCGCGUGGGUGAAGAAGGCCUUCGGGUUGUAAAGCCCUUUUGUUGGGAAAGAAAAGCAGCAGGUUAAUACCCCGCUGUUCUGACGGUACCCAAAGAAUAAGCACCGGCUAACUUCGUG
This 492-nucleotide ribosomal RNA is filed under the name uncultured bacterium. RNAcentral describes it as "partial 16S ribosomal RNA". It matches the Rfam family "Bacterial small subunit ribosomal RNA", at positions 29 to 507 of the family's 1533-position model. The record is from RNAcentral.